This is a long non-coding RNA of Pantherophis guttatus, 722 nucleotides long. RefSeq lists it as uncharacterized. The record is from RefSeq and is a predicted model, not a curated record. NCBI's taxonomy places the organism in Eukaryota, Metazoa, Chordata, Lepidosauria, Squamata, Colubridae.
AUGGCUUCUUACAGGAAUAUGUUCAACUCGUGGGGGAAAGAAAUAUCCUGAUUCAAAGCAGUUUCAAAAAGAUUGUGAAGCAUGGAACAUUGACAUGCUCAGGCAACUGGAUUUCAUUUGUUUUCCUUGAUGAUGCUUUGCUUCUCAUCCAAGAAGAAAAAGAAAAAAAAAACAUUUGGGACAAAUAUGGCUUGAAUGACUGAAAAUCUCCAUAGACAUACAGAGAAAAAAAAAUUACAUUUCAAUAAGAUGCAGGAAAGAAACAAGAGGAUGCCCUCAUGUCCCUGGCUUUAGAAUUUUCAACGAGCCAGCAGCAGACAAGAAUAUGGUAGGAUAUCAUUUAAUUGAUAGGAUGAGAAAAGUUUGAAUUUCAGAAAAGCACUCAAGGUUCUCCCCCUUGGUGGCAUAUAGUGCCUAGAAAAAUCACAUUACUUGCUGACCAUGUGAAGCUAGGAGAGAACAGCAGUGAGGGGGUUUCCAAAAGGAGAACAUCUCUAUACUCCAUAUGAUUUUUAUUUCCCAAUAUCUUGACAACACUUUUAAGAAGUGAAAUCUAUCUACGAUAUCUUUAAACCUGCCAAUUUCAAAAUGUUAAACAAGAAGCAAAACUUACUUGUUCUGUCCUGAUCUUUUGCAUAUCCCUCAGUAGCAAGAACAAAAACAAAGAAGCCUUAUUCAUAUUCUAUGGAAAAGAGAAAUAAAAUUGGUCGCUUCUGUUCCUC